AAUGUUUUGGCCCUACUGGUGAAAAUAUGUAGACCUAACAUCUAUCUCCCUGCUCCAGUUUCAAGAGAAAAGACCUUAUUCAGAGAAAUAUUUAGAAGACUCUUGUGGAAUUCUUGCUGUGAGUGGUUUUUCCUUCCCUGCCAUUGGUGCGACUGUUUCCCCCUUCCGUCAAAUUGCUGUCUAGAUGUUUCUCUCUGACCCCAAUUUUCUCGGAGUUUGGGAUUAUCAAUCUAAAAUCAGAGGGAACUGCCACUCACUGACACGGACAACAGUAAAGGAACUUGGUCUUCACUAUGCCUCAUAGUGGUGGGUCACACUGCCCAGGAGGAACCCGCAAUGAGACCGGCAAAUGCCUUAACCAUCUCAUUGUCUCAUCAGGAAGAAGCUUAAAUGACUCUUCUUGCUCACAUACUUCCUGGGCAAACAUGUCUGCUCUGUUGGGAUAAAGGACGCUCUAGACCAGGCUCUGCUGAAAGAUCCAGGGCAAAGGUUCCUGACAAGACUAUGUCCAGCCUCAAAUAAGGCCACAGAAGAGCCCAGGCUCGCUGACGAGCACCGGCUCCGAGGCAGUCACAUCAGGAGACAGAAACAGACAUGUUGGUGCUGCCCUCUCAGGUCAGUGCAAAUGCCACUUGAGGAGGGCUGAGAGCUUUGCAGCAUAAAAUGACCAGAACAAGGAGAAACACAGAUGCAAUGGCAAUAGCUGGCAAUUCGCACAUGGCGUCAAACACCACUGCCACAGAAGCUUUUUAGCUACAAGCCACGCUAUGCAACCUUUAAGCAAAACAUUAUUGAUUUUGUGGUUGUAAAAACAUACCUUCAACUGCAGAACUCAGUUUUAUGACACCUUGAAUAAAAACAAAAAGUGGCAGUUAUAUAAUGGACCCAAAUCGCCUUUUCCAGGCUUCUCAUAACACACGCAUGCUUCAGAUUUGGAUUUUUCUUUUUCUGCUGGCAUUGCAAGAACGUAACUAAACAAAUAUCAACUUCAAAAAUAAAAUAAUUUUUAGUCUUAA
Molecule: long non-coding RNA, 1016 nt
Filed under: Homo sapiens (human)
Lineage: Eukaryota; Metazoa; Chordata; Mammalia; Primates; Hominidae
Description: DLGAP1 antisense RNA 6
Source: RNAcentral